GAGCGGUAGAGAGAAGCUUGCUUCUCUUGAGAGCGGCGGACGGGUGAGUAAUGCCUAGGAAUCUGCCCGGUAGUGGGGGAUAACGUUCGGAAACGGACGCUAAUACCGCAUACGUCCUACGGGAGAAAGCAGGGGACCUUCGGGCCUUGCGCUAUCAGAUGAGCCUAGGUCGGAUUAGCUAGUUGGUGGGGUAAUGGCUCACCAAGGCGACGAUCCGUAACUGGUCUGAGAGGAUGAUCAGUCACACUGGAACUGAGACACGGUCCAGACUCCUACGGGAGGCAGCAGUGGGGAAUAUUGGACAAUGGGCGAAAGCCUGAUCCAGCCAUGCCGCGUGUGUGAAGAAGGUCUUCGGAUUGUAAAGCACUUUAAGUUGGGAGGAAGGGUUGUAGAUUAAUACUCUGCAAUUUUGGCGUUACCGACAGAAUAAGCACCGGCUAACUCUGUG
Molecule: ribosomal RNA, 448 nt
Filed under: uncultured bacterium
Lineage: Bacteria
Description: bacterial SSU rRNA
Rfam family: Bacterial small subunit ribosomal RNA
Source: RNAcentral